Molecule: non-coding RNA, 1136 nt
Organism: Pelobates cultripes (western spadefoot toad)
Lineage: Eukaryota; Metazoa; Chordata; Amphibia; Anura; Pelobatidae
Source: the annotation of a GenBank genome assembly
AUACAAACCUUUGUUUGAAAAUCUAUUCACAAAUAUGACUAUACAUAGAACACAAGGUCAUGCGUUUAGACUGGAAGAAAGAAGGUUUAGUCCAAGGCAAAGGAAAGCUUUUUAUUUACUGUAAUAAUAAAGAUGUGAAAUUCUCUGCCUGAAGAAGUGUUUUUAUAAGUGGGAGAAGCAAAUUUAAAGGGACACUAUGCACCCAGACCACUCUCCUCAUUGAAGUGGUCUGGGUGCAGUGUUCUCUUAACCCUGCAAUGUAAAACAAUUACGUUUUAGAGAGUCAGUCACUAGAGUCGCUUCCUCCAGUUUCCGCAAAGUUUGACUUCAUGAAGCGUCCAGUGUCUCGAAAAAAAAAACCCAUAGGUAAGCAUAUUCAGCUGUCAGUGGAGGAAUGAAACUAAGCACCGAGGGGCAUUGGUUAGGGAUCGACCGAUAUUGAUUUUUUACAGCCGAUACCGAUACCGAUAACCUGCGAACUUUCAGGCCGAUAGCCGAUAUCUUGCCGAUAUUCUGUACAUUUACUAUUUUGAAUAAAUAAACUAAUUCGAAAGGUAAAUGCACAAAAUAUACAUGCCACAUGUAGUGGAUGAAGUGUGUUUAGACAGGGGAACUGUGUGUUUGUGUAGUGUGUGCAGGGUGUGUGUUUGUGUAGUGUGUGUAUAAUGAAUGUAGUGUGUAUAUAAUGCAGUGUGUGCAGUGUGUUUUUGUGUGUAUGUAAUGCAGUGUGUGUGUUUGUGUAGUGUGUGUUUGUGUAGUGUGUAUGUAAUGCAGUGUGUGUGUAUGUGUAGUGUGUAUGUAAUGCAGUGUGUGUAUGUAAUGCAGUAUGUGUACUGUGUGUAUGUAAUGCAGUGUGUGUGUAUGUAAUGCAGUGUGUGUACUGUGUUUGUGUAGUGUGUAUGUAAUGCAGUAUGUGUACUGUGUUUGUGUAGUGUGUAUGUAAUGCAGUGUGUGUAUGUAAUGCAGUAUGUGUACUGUGUUUGUGUAGUGUGUAUGUAAUGCAGUGUGUGUCUGUAAUGCAGUAUGUGUUUGUGGUGUGUGUGUGUAGUGUGUCUGUCUGUGUAGUGUGUAUGUAAUGCAGUGUGUGUGUAUGUAAUGCAGUAUGUGUGCAGUGUGUGUUUGUGUAGUGAUGUAAU